AUCUCGGCUCACUGCAACCUGCGCCCCCUGGGUUCCAGCAAAUCUUGUGCCUCAACAUUCUGAGUAGCUGGGAUUACAGGCAGUCUCACUUUGUCGCCCAGGCUGG
Cebus imitator (Panamanian white-faced capuchin) is the source of this 106-nucleotide long non-coding RNA. RefSeq lists it as uncharacterized. The transcript has 3 exons. The record is from RefSeq and is a predicted model, not a curated record. NCBI's taxonomy places the organism in Eukaryota, Metazoa, Chordata, Mammalia, Primates, Cebidae.